GACGAACGCUGGCGGCGUGCUUAACACAUGCAAGUCGAACGGAAAGGCCCGGCUUUUGUGGGGUGCUCGAGUGGCGAACGGGUGAGUAACACGUGAGUAACCUGCCCUUGACUUUGGGAUAACUUCAGGAAACUGGGGCUAAUACCGGAUAGGAGCUCCUGCUGCAUGGUGGGGGUUGGAAAGUUUCGGCGGUUGGGGAUGGACUCGCGGCUUAUCAGCUUGUUGGUGGGGUAGUGGCUUACCAAGGCUUUGACGGGUAGCCGGCCUGAGAGGGUGACCGGCGACAUUGGGACUGAGAUACGGCCCAGACUCCUACGGGAGGCAGCAGUGGGGAAUAUUGCACAAUGGGCGGAAGCCUGAUGCAGCAACGCCGCGUGCGGGAUGACGGCCUUCGGGUUGUAAACCGCUUUCGCCUGUGACGAAGCGUGAGUGACGGUAAUGGGUAAAGAAGCACCGGCUAACUACGUG
RNAcentral lists this ribosomal RNA (468 nucleotides) under uncultured bacterium. Its description in RNAcentral is "partial 16S ribosomal RNA". It matches the Rfam family "Bacterial small subunit ribosomal RNA", at positions 28 to 507 of the family's 1533-position model. The record is from RNAcentral.